Molecule: ribosomal RNA, 274 nt
Filed under: uncultured bacterium
Lineage: Bacteria
Description: partial 16S ribosomal RNA
Rfam family: Bacterial small subunit ribosomal RNA
Source: RNAcentral
AUACGGAGGGUGCAAGCGUUACUCGGAAUCACUGGGCGUAAAGGACGCGUAGGCGGAAUGGUAAGUUGGAUGUGAAAUCCUACAGCUCAACUGUAGAACUGCAUCCAAAACUACCAAUCUAGAGUUCGGGAGAGGCAAAGGGAAUUUCUGGUGUAGGGGUAAAAUCCGUAGAGAUCAGAAGGAAUACCGAAAGCGAAGGCGCUUUGCUGGAACGAUACUGACGCUGAGGCGUGAAAGCGUGGGGAGCAAACAGGAUUAGAUACCCCAGUAGUCC